CCUACGGGUGGCAGCCGUGAGGACUAUUGGUCAAUGGGCGCGAGCCUGAACCAGCCAAGUCGCGUGAGGGAAGACGGUCCUAUGGAUUGUAAACCUCUUUUGUCGGGGAACAAAAGACGCCACGCGUGGCGUUCCGAGAGUACCCGAAGAAAAAGCAUCGGCUAACUCCGGGCCAGCAGCCGCGGUAAUACGGAGGAUGCGAGCGUUAUCCGGAUUUAUUUGGUUUAAAGGGUGCGCAGGCGGAAGAUCAAGUCAGCGGUAAAAUUGAGAGGCUCACCCUCUUCGAGCCGUUGAAACUGGUGUUCUUGAGUGAGUGAGAAGUAGGCGGAAUGCGUGGUGUAGCGGUGAAAUGCAUAGAUAUCACGCAGAACUCCGAUUGCGAAGGCAGCAUACCGGCGCUCAACUGACGCUCAUGCACGAAAGUGUGGGUAUCGAACAGGAUUAGAUACCCCUGUAGUC
Molecule: ribosomal RNA, 459 nt
Filed under: uncultured bacterium
Lineage: Bacteria
Description: partial 16S ribosomal RNA
Rfam family: Bacterial small subunit ribosomal RNA
Source: RNAcentral